GUGCUCGCUUUGUCAUUACAUAUACUAAAACUGGAAUGAUACAGAGAUUAGUGUGGUCCCUGCAUAAGGGAUGAUACCCAACUUUGUGAGGCAUUCCAUAAUUUU
Manis pentadactyla (Chinese pangolin) is the source of this 105-nucleotide small nuclear RNA. The record is from RefSeq and is a predicted model, not a curated record. Lineage: Eukaryota; Metazoa; Chordata; Mammalia; Pholidota; Manidae.